Peromyscus maniculatus bairdii (prairie deer mouse) is the source of this 1304-nucleotide non-coding RNA. Lineage: Eukaryota; Metazoa; Chordata; Mammalia; Rodentia; Cricetidae. The record is from RefSeq and is a predicted model, not a curated record.
ACAUAAUGGAUGUAGUGAGGUAUUAGGAUUUCUUUUGAGGUUUUUCUUUUUUGAGACAGGGUUUUCUUUGUAACAGCCCUGGCUAUCCUGGAACUCACUCUGUAGACCAGGUGGCCUCAAACUCAGAGAUCGGCCUGCCUUUGCCCACUGUGUGCUGGACAUGAGCCACCAACAUCCUGAUUCUUCUUCCCCCUCUCCCCCCAGGGGACUGGUGUCCCUGGCUGGCCUAGAAUUCACUCACAGGAUUACUAGUUACCUUUUGUAACGGUGGUCGGGAUUUGCUUCUAUUUAUGCUACUAUGUAAUUUUUAUGACCUCGUUUAAGGGUCUCUUUCCUAUGAGUAAAAUAGAGUAGCUUUAGCUGGCUUUGGGGUUUUUUUAAUUUUAUUUUUUCCUUCCGAAGACAAAGUCUCCCUGUGUAACCCAGACACUUGCUACAUAGUCUAGGCUGAGCUCCUAAGUAUAAUCAAUAUUCCUGCUUCAGCUUCUGAGGCAUUUAGAUUUCUCUUACUGAAUCCAACCCAGAAAGCAUUCUUGAGACUUGGAGCAUUAGUCUCUGUCAAUAUGAUAAAAGACAAAAAGUGAUUCUCGUGGCUGCAGAUCUGGGACACAAAGGCCCAGCCCAGCCUUCUCAGCCUGCCUGGGUUCUGUCCAGACACCGCCCUUAAUUUCUGAUGAGUGCUGGAUCUAACUUGGAUGGUGGCAAUGAAUGGUAAACUUUGCAUCAUGGAUAUUCAUGCAUUUUCCCAUGAGUGAAUCUAUGAAAAUUCUGAGAAUUUGAGGUUCAAUGGCAUGAUGGUGACUCCACCCACCUCCAACAACUUACUAUGGAAAACUUGAAGUAGGAUUGGUGAGAUGGCCAGCAGGCUGGCUUGGACUACUCUGCAGGACAGCACUGCUUGACAUUAGAUACCAGCUUUAUCCAUGCCCUCAAAAAUGCAAGGCACAGAUUAUGAACUUCCUGACCCUGUUUUGCACUUGAUCCAAACUCUGGUGUCAGUACAGAGGACUGGCAAGCAGAACUACAGGUGUUGAUUUAGGAGAACAUGGACCCAAUGGCACCAGCAUUCUUCAGAAUCCUUGUGAGAAUUCCUGCACAUACUGGUGUGUCAGUUCUGUCCAGAGAACAGCUGAUUGUGGAGUACCCAGCCCAUGUUGAUAACAUCCAACAUAACCAGUGCUCAAAAGAUGUGGAGAAUGCUGUGGAAGAUAGGCUGGAUAGACUAGACAGAAGAUGAGGAUGGCAAGCCAAUAGGCAAACCUAACCUAUCAGGACUCACAUUCUUCCUCUAUAUGGACUGUCCA